AGGAGGUACACGCCAGCCAGCCUCCCUACUUUUCUCUCAAACUCUCCAUAUAUAUCUUGUUUAAUUACGUAUUACCUAACAGUAGAUGUGUAUGUUAAUUUAAAAAAAAAAUAAGAGAGGAUACUGAAGCAACAAUUAGUGUGAAACACAAGAAUAAGUUAAGAAUAAGCUUCCCGCCUCAACUUUGCUGAAUCAGACGCCAAUCUCUCUCUCCACAAUAACAAAUCCCGAGAUAAGAGAAUGAGAUGUGAGCGCGGGCAUGGCGCUCACCCUACGCAGAUUUACAUAUAGAUGAACAAAUCCACAAGGGCCGUAAUGAGGGUUCGAACCUACGUCCCAGAGGAUCCCAGACGCGCCUUAAUCGACUGUGCUACGACAUGGUUAAAAGAAUUGCAACCGAGAGUUCAACUGACCUCACACGGAUUGACUCCGUGACCAAUAUCGCAUUUGUCUAGACCUGACUAUCAGGUGUGAAGAGCCCCAGUGGUAAUUGGUAUGGGAUGCAUUACCUCUCAAUGUGUAUGGGGUCCAUUACCACCCACGGGAUGUGUACGAUGGGAUGAGGUCCACCACCGCCCACAGGAUGGGCAUGAGGUCAAAUACCGCCCACAGAAUGGGUAUGGGAUCAACCACCACCCACAGGAUAUGUAUGGGGUGUAUAAUAAAUGAACUAAACCAAACGUUUCUUGUAUUUCAUUUUGAAGUUGCUUAUUGAGCUUGCUUUGACAAUGUUUUCUUGUUCGUUUCACUUGCUUUCAGAGAUACACAGUCUCUGUCCUCCAUUCUGAGUUGUCAAUGUCACAGAAAUGCAAAUACUGCAGAAGACUUAUUGGUCCAUGCAAGGCAACUCCUAUUUAUAUCCAAUCAAACAUUCACACAUGUCUAACCUAAGUUUGAAACACUAACCUACGCUUAAAACAUUCCUAACCUACGCUUGAAACCUUCCUAGCCUACGCUUGAAACAUUCUUAAUCUGCGCUUGAAACAAAUCAAAUACAUACUCUUAAAAUAAUCCAAGCCUACGCUUGAUGCAACAUUCGUUCGACACAAUUUACUUUCACUGAAGCUAUGUUGGUACUCAGAGACAAAGUACAUUUUUUUCUGAAGUACUCCA
Long non-coding RNA from Procambarus clarkii (red swamp crayfish), 1113 nucleotides. RefSeq lists it as uncharacterized. The record is from RefSeq and is a predicted model, not a curated record. NCBI's taxonomy places the organism in Eukaryota, Metazoa, Arthropoda, Malacostraca, Decapoda, Cambaridae.